Molecule: long non-coding RNA, 507 nt
Organism: Sinocyclocheilus rhinocerous
Lineage: Eukaryota; Metazoa; Chordata; Actinopteri; Cypriniformes; Cyprinidae
Exons: 3
Source: RefSeq, a predicted model, not a curated record
UGCAGCGCGUGAGCGUCAGUUGAAAUUCGCCAAGCGUUUCUCUGUAAAACUACGGCUCCGGGAUUUCCGCAACAUUUUUCUCAAUAACGGACAUAAAGCUGUUAUGGAGAGCGGUUAUCACUGGGAAUUAUUAAAACUUUAUCGUCAUAAAACUUAAUGUACUUGAUGAAAGGCGAUCGUAUUUACAUCCAAACGGAAAUGAGUCCACACUGAACUGAGCCGAAAGUAUAUCGAUAAACUACUCAAGUCAAGCGAAUUCAGUCAGAUUUACCAAAUAAAGUGCUGUUUGUCUGCCUGUCACUGCAUGUGGAACAGACAGACGUUCGUCAAUGGAAAUUACCUCAAUGUCUAUUUCAUCUUCUGAAGACAGGGUGUUCUCCUCUUCAGAAUCUAAAAGGCAACAGCUGAAGUUUUCAGAUCCCUCUGUUUCUGCGUCUGUCACUCUCUGUUUGACAGUGCACUCGGGAAGAAGAACUGAAACUGACUUCAGUGUACAGCUAUGCUUAU